CCUACGGGCGGCAGCAGUGGGGAAUAUUGCACAAUGGGGGAAACCCUGAUGCAGCGACGCCGCGUGAGUGAAGAAGUAUUUCGGUAUGUAAAGCUCUAUCAGCAGGAACGAGACAAGACGGUACCUGACUAAGAAGCCCCGGCUAACUACGGGCCAGCAGCCGCGGUAAUACGUAGGGGGCAAGCGUUAUCCGGAACCACUGGGGGGAAAGGGAGCGUAGACGGCUGAGCAAGCCUGAAGUGAAAGGCGGGGGCCCAACCCCCGGACUGCUUUGGGAACUGUACGGCUGGAGUGCAGGAGAGGUAAGUGUAAUUCCUAGUGUAGCGGUGAAAUGCGUAGAUAUUAGGAGGAACACCAGUGGCGAAGGCGGCUUACUGUACUGUAACUGACGUUGAGGCUCGAAAGCGUGGGGAGCAAACAGGAUUAGAUACCCCGGUAGUC
RNAcentral lists this ribosomal RNA (441 nucleotides) under uncultured bacterium. Its description in RNAcentral is "partial 16S ribosomal RNA". It matches the Rfam family "Bacterial small subunit ribosomal RNA", at positions 338 to 795 of the family's 1533-position model. The record is from RNAcentral.